AUAGAGAGAGAUAAGAGAGAUAGAUAGAUAGAGAUAAGAGAGUGAUAUGAGAGAGAUGAGGGAGAAAGAUAAGAGAGAGAGAGAUGAGAGAGAGAGAUAGAUAAGAGAUAGAGAUAUAUAUAGAGAAAGAUAAUAGAUAGAUAGAGAUAGAUAGAUACAUAGCGAGAGAGAGAUGGAGAGAGAAGAGAUAGAUAGAUAGAUACAUAGCUAGAUAGAGAUAGAUAGAGAUAGAUAGGACAGAGAUAUGAGGGAGAGAUAGAUAGAGAGAGAUAAGAGAUAGAGAUAGAGAGAAAGAGAGAUAAGAGAGAUAUGAGAGAGAGAAAGAAAGGUAAGUGAGAGAUAUAGAUAGAUAGAUACAUAGCUAGAUAGUGAGAGAAGAGAGAUAGAUAGAGAGAGAUGAGAGAGAGAGAAAGAAAGGUAAGUGAGAAUAUAGAGAGAUAGAUAGAUACAUAGCUAGAGACAAGAGAGAUAGAUAGAUAGAGAUAAGAGAGAGAUGAGGGAGAGAUAAGAGAUAGAUAUAGAGAGAAAGAAAGAUAAGAGAUAGAUGGAGAGAGAUAUGAGAGAGAGAGAAAGGUAAGUGAGAGAUAGAUAGAUAGAUAGAUAGAUACAUACAUACAUACAUACAUACAUACAUACAUACAUACAUACAUACAUACAUACAUAGCUAGAUAGAGAGAGAUAAGAUAGAGAUAUGAGAGAGAUAAGAGAGAGAUAGAUAGAGAGAUAAGAGAUAGAUAGAUAGAUAUAGAGAGAUAAGAGAGAGAUAUGAGAGAUAGAGCGGUGAGAGAGAUAGAGAGAGAUAUGAGAGAGAUAGAGAGAGAUAUGAGAGAGAUAGAGAGAUAAGAGAGAUAGAGAGAGAUAUGAGAGAGAUAGAGAGAUAAGAGAGAUAGAGAGAGAUAUGAGAGAGAUAGAGAGAUAAGAGAGAUAGAGAGAGAUAUGAGAGAGAAAGAAAGAUAGAUAGAUAUGAGAGAUAUAGAGAGAGAUAUGAGAGAGAUAAGAGAGAUAGAUAGAG
Long non-coding RNA from Ictalurus punctatus (channel catfish), 1012 nucleotides. The record is from Ensembl. Lineage: Eukaryota; Metazoa; Chordata; Actinopteri; Siluriformes; Ictaluridae.